UGUAACGUGGAGCCUGGUCGCCCCAGCCCUGGAGAGGGGGACCCUGCCCGCACUCUCCUGGUCUGGGGAGGGCCUAGUGGCAGCCCGGGUGCAGUGGGCUGGUGGCCAAGGGAGCCCGUGUAGGGGAACCGCCUGGCGUCUGUUCAGCGUGCCCCUCCCCUGGGUGGGGCUUCAGGCGCUGAGUCACGGCUUUGGUUGGGGGGCAGCCUCACCCUCCUCCCCAUCCUCCAAGCUGCUGAGGAAAUCCUGGGCUGAGCACAGCAGAGGAGGCCUAGGUCCCUGGGACUGAGGGGGAGAGAGCUGAGGGGCUCCCAGCAAUGGGAGCAGCUCUCGGGGCCUCUGCCAGGGCCCACCCUGUCCCCAGGAGCACGUCCGUGAGCUCUUGGGUGCAGCCACCCCCGCUUGCUGGCUCUCCAGGGACACGGGCGCCCCAAACCCUAGGGCGGCAGCUCUGGGUGCAGCUGUCUCUGCAUCCGGCCCUGCUCAGGGGUGGCUGCAACUCCUGGGGUGUGGCGCUCUCUGCUGCCUUCUUCUGGGAGGAUGGUCCCUUCUCUGUUCUGGGAUCCUCCAGCUGAGGUAGAGGUCAGGGUCCAGGGGCUACGGGCUGGGUGCUGGUGGUCAGCGGACACCACAGUGAGAUUCCCUCCAUCACCCCCUGCUUCGGUAUUCAGAGUCCUCUUAGCCCCUUGGGAACAGGUGAGGGCUGCUCAGAGAGGACCUGGUAUCCUGCUGGGGUGGCUGGGACCCUUCAAGGUCCCUGGCUGGGGCAGCCUGGUGCCUGCGGCUCUAGCUCCUAAUUGAGGACACGCCCCAUGUAAACCGCAGGCCCCUCCCCCGAGGCUUGGGACACCCGUCAGGGUAGCAAGGUAUGAGGGACUGUAGGCCCCGAUGUCCUCUGCUCCUGGACCCCUGCCCUAGACCUGUCCCUGGAGUCCUGGCCUCAGCCCGGGCCCUGUGGUGCCCAAUCCCCAGGAGGCCAGAUGGCCCGGACAGCCAGUGAGCCGAUUGUGUGGAGGGCUGCCGGGAUCCUGGCCCUGUUUCCCUGUUUCCUGCUCCCGGAGGGGGUGGUCACGUGCCCGAUCCAUCUGCCUCCUGUCUUCCGGGGAUUCUCCCGCCGACGCUUCUCUGGUGAUGUCAUGCCUUAACCCUUCUCUCCCCAGGCAGCCCCACUGCCAGGCUGUCCUGGUGGGAGUGGGCUCUGAGGAGGACGGCCUACCCGUCUUUCCAGCUGACCGUGCCCCUUGCAGCUGUGAGGUUGGGGGAGCCGGGGGCGUCUCUCCCCAGCUGGUCUGGGUCCUCCUUGUGCUGCCAGGACCGAGAGCAGCCGCCCUACUGCCCCCACCCUGUCCCACAGUGCAUGGGCGCCAGACCUGGGUGGGCUGCAGUAGUGCAGAGGGGUGAGGGGAGGCGUCACAGGGUUGAGAGGCUCCAGAUGGGUCCAGGAUAGACUCUGAACUCCUAGAGGAGAGGCGGGUGAGGCUGGCUCAGCCCUUGGUGGGCACCGUCCCUGAGGGACUCCCAGUGGCCGGCUGUCCUGGCAGAGACUGGUCCAACCUUCUUCCCCGAGGGCACAGCAGCAGGCGUUACAGCCGGUUCUCCCUCUCCCUGCCUGGGGCUGGGGGGGCGGGGGGAAGCGCACUGAACCUGGUCCCAGUCCUGUCCCCGUAGCAGGCAGGCAUCUGUCUCCCAGCCCGUUUCCUGAAAGCCCCUUCCCAUGGUGGAGCCCCUCAGCGAGGUGCAGGGGGAGGCGAAGCCCUGAGGGGGCCGAGGCUGCAGGUGACCCCAGCCAGCCCCGUUCUUGCUUUAGGGCGACCCUUGACGAGGUGGAGACAGACGUGGUGGAGAUUGAGGCCAAACUGGACAAGCUGGUGAAGCUGUGCAGUGGCAUGGUGGAAGCCGGCAAGGCCUACGUCAGCACCAGCAGGCUGUUCGUGAGCGGCGUCCGCGACCUGUCCCAGCAGUGCCAGGGCGACACCGUCAUCUCGGAAUGUCUGCAGAGGUUCGCUGACAGCUUACAGGAGGUGGUAAACUACCACAUGAUCCUGUUUGACCAGGCCCAGAGGUCCGUGCGGCAGCAGCUCCAGAACUUUGUCAAAGAGGAUGUGCGGAAGUUCAAGGAGACAAAGAAGCAGUUUGACAAGGUGCGGGAGGACCUGGAGCUGUCCCUGGUGAGGAACGCCCAGGCCCCGAGGCACCGGCCCCACGAGGUGGAGGAAGCCACCGGGGCCCUCACCCUCACCAGGAAGUGCUUCCGCCACCUGGCACUGGACUAUGUGCUCCAGAUCAAUGUUCUGCAGGCCAAGAAGAAGUUUGAGAUCCUGGACUCUAUGCUGUCCUUCAUGCACGCCCAGUCCAGCUUCUUCCAGCAGGGCUACAGCCUCCUGCACCAGCUGGACCCCUACAUGAAGAAGCUGGCGGCCGAGGUGAGCCUUUGGGAGGGGUGGGGCUGGGCCAGGCCUCCGUGACCUUCCCUAAUGCCGCCCCCAACAGCUGGACCAGCUGGUGAUCGACUCUGCGGUGGAGAAGCGUGAGAUGGAGCGAAAGCACGCCGCCAUCCAGCAGCGGACGCUGCUGCAGGACUUCUCCUACGAUGAGUCCAAAGUGGAGUUUGACGUGGACGCGCCCAGUGGGGUGGUGAUGGAGGGCUACCUCUUCAAGAGGGCCAGCAACGCUUUCAAGACCUGGAACCGGCGCUGGUUCUCCAUUCAGAACAGCCAGCUGGUCUACCAGAAGAAGCUCAAGGAUGCCCUCACCGUGGUGGUGGACGACCUCCGCCUGUGCUCUGUGAAGCCGUGUGAGGACAUCGAGCGGAGGUUCUGCUUCGAGGUGCUGUCACCCACCAAGUGAGGAGGCCCAGCCCAGGGUGGGGCGGGGGGCGUACCUGCCCACCGGAGCUGACGCCCACCCCUCCACUGCCUGCAGGAGCUGCAUGCUACAGGCAGACUCCGAGAAGCUGCGGCAGGCCUGGGUCCAAGCUGUGCAGGCCAGCAUCGCCUCCGCCUACCGCGAGAGCCCCGACAGUUGCUAUAGCGAGAGGCUGGACCGCACAGCAUCCCCGUCCACGAGCAGCAUCGACUCCACCACCGACACUCGGGAGCGCGGCGUGAAGGGCGAGAGUGUGCUGCAGCGUGUGCAGAAUGUGGCCGGCAACAGCCAGUGUGGCGACUGCGGCCAGCCGGACCCCCGCUGGGCCAGCAUCAACCUGGGCGUGCUGCUCUGCAUCGAGUGCUCCGGCAUCCACAGGAGCCUGGGUGUCCACUGCUCCAAGGUCCGGUCCCUGACGCUGGACUCGUGGGAGCCAGAGCUGCUAAAGCUGAUGUGUGAGCUUGGAAACAGCGCUGUGAAUCAGAUCUAUGAGGCCCAGUGUGAGGGUCCAGGCAGCAGGAAACCCACAGCCAGCAGCUCCCGGUGAGGUGGGGUACAGUCUGUAUCAGUCAGGGAGCCCCAGCCUGGGGGCACAGCCUCAUGUUCAUCCCUGGUCCAGGCAGGACAAGGAGGCUUGGAUCAAGGACAAAUACGUGGAAAAGAAAUUUCUGCGGAAGGCGACCAUGGCACCAGCCCUGGAGGCCCCAAGACGCUGGAGGGUGCAGAAGUGCCCGCGGCCCCACAGCUCUCCCCGCGCUCCCACUGCCCGCCGCAAGGUCCGGCUUGAGCCCGUUCUGCCCUGUGUGGCCACUCUGUCCUCAGUGGGCACCCUGGAUCGUAAAUUCCGUCGAGACUCCCUCUUCUGCCCCGACGAGCUGGACUCGCUCUUCUCCUACUUUGACGCAGGGGCCGCGGGGGCUGGCCCUCGCAAGGGUGCGGAGUCGGAGGAGUCCAGCGGUGAGGCAGACGGGGACGCUGAGGCCGAGGCCUGGGGCCUGGCGGACGUGCGCGAGCUGCACCCGGGGCUCUUGGCGCACCGCGCAGCGCGUGCCCGCGACCUUCCUGCGCUGGCGGCGGCGCUGGCCCACGGGGCCGAGGUCAACUGGGCGGACGCGGAGGAUGAGGGCAAGACGCCGCUGGUGCAGGCCGUGCUAGGGGGCUCCUUGAUCGUCUGUGAGUUCCUGCUGCAAAACGGAGCGGACGUGAACCAAAGAGACAGUCGGGGCCGGGCGCCCCUGCACCACGCCACGCUGCUGGGCCGCACCGGCCAGGUUUGCCUGUUCCUGAAGCGGGGCGCGGACCAGCACGCCCUGGACCAAGAGCAGCGGGACCCGUUGGCCAUCGCAGUGCAGGCGGCCAACGCUGACAUCGUGACACUGCUCCGUUUGGCGCGCAUGGCGGAGGAGAUGCGCGAGGCCGAGGCUGCCCCAGGUCCCCCGGGCGCCCUGGGGGGCAGCAGCCCCACGGAGCUCCAGUUCCGCAGGUGCAUCCAGGAGUUCAUCAGCCUCCACCUGGAAGAGAGCUAGGGCCGGGCAGGCCGGGCAGCUGCCACCCCGCCCGGCCCGCCGCCCCGCAUGCCCCGAAGUCCCUGGUGCCCACCCGGCCGCGGCCCUGCCUGUGACCCGGGUCGAUGCCCGGCAGCCCCAGUGCCGGGGCGCCGCGGCCCCGCUCACCCAGGAGGAGAGCGAGGGCCCCGCACUGAGUCUCUUGAAGCCUCACGUUUCCCUAGGGGGGUGCUGCAUCGUCGGGUGCCCCUCACCCCACCUGGGGAACCUCUGUCUUCAGGUCACCCCUCUUCAGGAGCCUGGGUUGCUCAUGUCACAAGCCACUCUCAAGGCCCAUGUCACCUGUGUCCCUCUGUCCUCAGGGCCUGUGUUGUUUCGUGCCGCACUUCUGCUCAGAACACUGACCUGUUAGCUGGGUCCCUCCUGCACACCCCACAGCCUCCCCCCAGGGCAGAAAGGGUGGCCCAUCCAGGGAACCAACGAGUACCUCACUUAGUGACCCCAGCAUCCAGGCUGGCGUCGCGGGUGCUGGGCGGGAGGGGCUCUGGCCUGGGUCCUCAGCCCUGGCUGGACGCGGGCGUCCCAAGGCCACGUGGCUGGCCACGAAGGUCCCCGUGCCAGACAGCCCCAGCCUCGUCCCAGCCUCCUCCGGAGGCACCUUCUCCUGGUACUCGGCCCAGAGCCUGUGCAUAAAGCCACUUUGCCACUUUGCAGCCCGCAUCUCAUGUUCUUUGUAGCGGACCGAGUGGGUUUGCUAUAGGUCUCGUCUGACUUUGUCUUGCGUCUUUUCUCUGUGGACUCUUGAGGACGCCUGAGCCCCAGCCCUGCCCCUCACCAGCCUCCCCCUUGGAUCCAGGGGUCCCUCGGCUCAUAUUGCAGGGCCUGCCAAUGCCUUCACGCACCCCUUCCCCAUAGGCGCCUGGCAGGGAGGCAGGCAGGGCCUCCCCGACUUGGCGCAAGUCAGGCUAAGGCCAGUCGGCUGGUCACUAUGCAAUGUUGCCCUGGGGAGGCUCCCUGAGGGCACAGUGGGCGCUGGACCCGGACCCCCAACUCUCUUGCCUGCUGCUUGUGACCCUGAAGAACAGAAUUAAUUCUUGUCCCUCUCCCUAUGUGAGCUUGGCCCCGCCUCCCGCCCCAGGCCCCUGCUGGCGGGUCUCACCCCCCACCCCUCGCUUUGAAUAAACCGCUUGCGCCCAC
Molecule: small RNA, 5567 nt
Filed under: Pongo abelii (Sumatran orangutan)
Lineage: Eukaryota; Metazoa; Chordata; Mammalia; Primates; Hominidae
Description: retained intron
Source: RNAcentral